GGACUAGACAGAGUACUCAGCCAGAAUCCCUAUCUUUUGAAUGAACUCUUUUAUUCUUUAGUUUUUUGAACUUAGCCUACUCUCUAAUAAUAGCAGCAUUUCUAAUUUUCAGACAUUCUUUUAGCUAUUCUCUUUGCUCCUUCUGAGACUCUAAAAAGGCAAUAACUGCUUUUAUUUAUUUAUUUAUUUAUUUUUAAAAUGGGUUGUCUAUAAAUACACCUGGUAAUAUGACUCACCAACCACCAAGCCAUCUCACAUAAAGAGGCAGAAUUGUUUUGGGGCCACAGAAAUCUGGUUUUGAGGGGGUGCUGUCUGGUUUCACAGCCUUGACUCCCAUCUCUCUUCAUUGGAGUCUUUCAAGGAUGUCUCUGAAUGGCUUUGCACAACACAGUGAGAUGUGGUUUUGUGCAGAACUUAGGGCAAGGGGGAAAAAAAGAAAAGAGAAAUAAAGCUUCCCUCUAGUAAAUUGGCAGAAAAACAUUUCUAAAGGUUACACACCACCCACACAUUCCUUUCAAAUGAUCAAAGUCUUACAAGAGGUCACGGAAGGAGAAAACAGGAGAGAGGGAGCCUGAAAUACUUUUUUUAAAGUGCUCUGUAUUGCAAUUCUUGCUGAAUAAGGAACAAAUUAGGACUCUUGUUAAUCUUUUGGAAAAUUAUUGGAUUGAAAGAAACAAACAUUAAAUUGAAUCGGUAAACUGAUAUCUCUAAAAUGAACAAUGCCUAUCUCUUUCUACAUCUCAUUCCAAAUUCAACACUGUUUUUGUCCAUCGCAUUUUUAAGUAUUUAAUUUAGUUAUUUAUUUAUUUUUAGUUUUAAUUUUCAUAGUCCUCUAUACUUCCUGGUUUCAGCAGAAUUCACUAAACUAGUCGUCUUGAUAUGCCAGUCCAUCCCCACAUGGGAAAUACUUAACAUUUAAAAGAAAUCUGUCUGGACGUGAUUUUCUUACCUAUCGGUAGUUUCUAAACUCACACCUUGUCUUUGAAAUCGGCCUUAGUUUUGUAGGUAUCUUGGGCCAUUCUUUAUAGCUUGGUUGUGGCUCUCCACUCAUUUUCAUCAGGUAGAGUGAAAUGGUCCCUUGUCUAUAUUUUCAUAGAAAUAUACACCUCGGUUAGAACUUAUAAGUUUUGUUUGCUGGCCUCAUCCUGAUAGUGGAAUCUGCUCAAGGGAAAAUACUGUUUUCUACGCAUUUGCAUCCCUAACUCCUAGCAAACUGUCUGACAGUUACAGGUUCUGUUAGCUGCUUUCUCCAUUGACUUCUGUCUAAGCAAGCUGCCCCUAACUCCAGGUAUCUUAUUUGACGACUGCAGUACCUUUCCUUGACCUCUGGCUUUAAGAUGGACCUUGGUUUUGAAAAGCAUUUUACUUAUGCCUUCUUCUGUCCUGAAGUCUAGAAUAAACUUAAGGCCAGUACUUGCUUUCUGGAGCGUGGUCUGGUCAAAGUCCCCAUGGCUGCUGUAAUCAAUCUGAGAAAUCUGGAAGAUCAUGAAUGCCUAUGUAGAUCUCUUAAUUUGACAACUCUCAACACAGCUCAAGUUGGAUUUACUGAGUCCCCACUUUUUUUUUUCCCUUAUUUUAUUUGCUGUCCUCAUCCCUGCCGGAUGCUGAGUAAUCCCCGCCUCAGGAAUUUGUGGAUGUUGAGAUGAUGGACACAUAGGUACCAUGGAUAUGAAGUGAAGUGUACAUAGUAAAUAGAAGAGGGAGUCUAAAAGAAGAAAGUCUAUAAAUUUAGUCAAGAGGUAAACAACAACCAAGGAGAGAGAGUGGACUGGGCCCUUAUAAUAGCUAUUGAGAGAUGACAACGUGCUAUCAGCCCUUGAUCGCUCUUGGCACCUCCUCAGGCCAUGGCGUCCACUCUGGCCGAGCUUCCCGAAGCUCGGCACUGCACUGUGGGAGCCCCUCUCUGGGCUGGCCAAGGCCAGAGCCGGCUCCCUCUGCUUGCAGGGAGGUGUGGAGGGAGAGGCGCAGGCGGAACCCGGCUGCGCGGCGGUCGCAGGCCAGCUCGAGUUCCGGGUGGGCACGGGCUCAGUGGCCCUGCACUUAGAGUGGCAGGCCGGCGCUGCUGGUCCGUGCAGUGAGAGGCUUAGCACCUGGUUCAGCAACUACGGAGGGUGCAGCGGGCCCCCAGCAGUGCCGGCCCAUGGGUGCCACGCUCGAAUUCUCGCUGGGCCUCAGCUGCCUCCCCGCGGGGCAGGGCUCCAGACCUGCAGCCCGCCAUGCCCAAGCCUCCCCCGCCCCGUCGUGGGCUCCCACACGGCCCUACCCUCCCCAACGGGCAUCUCCCCCUGCUCCGCGGGGCCAGUCCCAUCCACCGCCCAAGGGCUGACGAGUGCGGGCGCGUGGCGCCGGACUGGUGAGCAGCUCCGCCUGCGGCCCCAGCGCAGGAUCCACUAGGGGAAGCCAGCUGGGCUCCUGAGUGGGGUGGGGACUUGGAGAACUUUUAUGUCUAGCUGGAGGAUUGUAUAUGUGCCAAUCAGCACUCUGCAUCUAGCUCGGAGUUUGUGGAUGCACCAAUCAGCACUCUGUAUCUAGCUAAUCUGGUGGGGACUCCGAGAACUUUUAUGUCUAGCUAAAGGAUUGUAACCGCACCAAUCUGUGCUCUGUGUCUAGUUUAUCUGGUGGGGACUUGGAGAACUUCUAUGUCUAGCUGGAGGGUUGUAAAUGCACAAAUCAGCACCCUGUGUCUAGCUCAAGGUUUGUAAAGGCACCAAUCAGUGCUCUGUGUCUAGCUAAUCUAGUGCGGACUUGGAGAAAUUUGUGUGUAGCUAAGGGAUUGUAAAUGCACCAAUCAGCACUCUGUGUCUAGCUCAAGGUUUGUGAAUGCACCAAUCAGCCCCUUGUCAAAACGGACCAAUCAGCUCUCUGUAAAACAGACCAAUCAGCAGAAUGUGGGUGGGGUCAGAUAAGUGAAUAAAAGCAGGCUGCCCGAGUCAGCGGCAGUAACGAUCUCUGCUUGGUGGAAGCUUUGUUCUCUUGCUCUUCGCGAUAAAUCUUGCUGCUGCUCACUCUUUGGGUGCGCACUGCCUUUGUGAGCUGUAACACUCACCACGAAGGUCUGCAGUUUCACUCCUGAAGCCAGCGAGACCACGAAGCCACCAGAAGGAAGAAACUCUGGACACAUCUGAACAUCUGAAGGAACAAACUCUGGACACACCAUCUUUAAGAACUGUAACACUGACCGCGAGGGUCCACGGCUUCAUUCUUGAAGUCAGCGAGACCAAGAACCCACCAAUUCCGGACACACGAUGAAGUGGGUUAGGGAAGAAUUUGGAGCAAGGGCUAGGGAUUUGUGAAAUGUGAACUCCCCUCCAGCACCAGGUGAUGAUUGGCACAUGUGGGUCCUCUAAAUGUGGCUGCCCAAAUAUGGGGCAGGCAGGGAGGUUGGGGAUCUAAAAGCUGUCAAGUGUCAAACAUUAAAAAGAGGUCACUCCCUUUAUGCCAACACAGAUUAUGCAUUUUAAUAAACUAAGGCAACUCUUUUGCAUUUUUAUAUUUGAGAACCACUGGUUUGUGGGCCCUUCUGAUGGAGGUGAGCCUCUGGUUGUCUUAAUUCAUGUGCUAGAAGAGGCUUUCAUCUCCUGAUUCCAAACGUGGUCCACACCACAAUUGUUUGGGUCACCUAAAGGCACUCCAGAAGGGCAGUCUGCUCUGACUUCUCACACUCUCAGGAUUGUGCUGAGCCUCUGCAGUGAGUCUGGGCAUUAGGGACAGCAAGGACUUUACAUCAGCUCUGCCGAAACAUCUGGUGGCCCAACUGGCCACUAUGGAAUGGGAUUCUGAAAUGGGCAAUGGUGACCACCAUCUAAUCACUUCCCUUUAUUUUUUUAUGCAUGUUUUUACUUUGCUUUUCCAGUUCAGUGAAAUAAUUUAAUAGGUAGCUCUAAAAUAACUUUUUAUUUGUCUUCCCAAUGACAAGGUCACCAGGAUGUUUUAUUUUCAGAUUACCUUACCAGGAGUAAGUUUCCUGUCGUGCCCAUUUCAGGUUUUUCUUUAAGAUUUCUACUUUUUCCUGGUAGAUGUUUGUUCUACUGUGUUCUAGGGCCUGCUUUUGGAGUGAUACAAAGUAAUUCAGCUAGUGUUUAGGAAUAGGCAGAAUAGUUCUACCUGAAAGACAGGUAAGGUUUCCUGACAGAAAGAAAUCUCCAUGAUUAGAGAACAAAAGCAUCUAGUGAAUGCUUGGAUAACUAUGUUGUUACUUAGCAAGACUGCUAGCAUUUUAAAUGUGCCUAUAUGCAUUAAAUUUUUGUAGUAUCAUUUGAUGUUUUACUUUAAACAGAAGAGAAUAAACCAGUUGGCAGAUUCCUUGGAUUAGUAAAAUAGGCAAUGCCCACUUUAAAUAGCAGGUCAAUAUCUGCAAUCUAAAUGGGUACACCAUAUUUUUCAUUUGAGAAGCACCAAAUUCAGCUUGUGGCACCUGUGAUAUGUUCCAUUUGCCUUUCUCACCAUGGCCCUUAACGAAUCUCUGUAUAUUAACUGAACAUUUACUAUAGUAGCUGUUUUAAGUUCAUAGUUGUAUUACCUUAUUGAGUACUUACCAAAAACCUGUGAAGUCGGUACGAUUAUUGCCCAAUUUUAUAAAGGAGGAGAUUGAGAAGGAGAGAGCCUAAGUAACUUGUCAUACAGCUAGUAAGCGGUAGAACCGAAAGUUGGCAGAACCAGGCAACCUGACUCCAGAGCUGGGCACAUAAACAUUGCAAUGCAUUAUCUAAAAGCAAGUCACUCUCUAGAAUAAUUUUUUAAUAAGACUAUGAGAGACUGGCGGUUGUUAGAAAUCAUCUAAUUAGCUCCUGACAAGUCACAAGAUAGUUCACAUAAUCCCAGAACUCAUUUCACUUGACAAUACAUAGCACUCACUGUCUGCUUCUGAUAAAACUUAGGAAUAGCAUGAUGUCUGAGUAUUAUCUUCUUCCCCUGUAUUUCUUAGUUUUUGUAAAGUGAUUUUGAAUUGUGUUUUUCUGAGGCCCUAUAAUGGCAGGGAAAGGGGUUUGGAAGCACAUAUCUGGGCUCCCCCAGCUUGAACAUGAAUGGUGUUUAUAUGCUCCACAUCUUG
This 5050-nucleotide long non-coding RNA is filed under the name Homo sapiens (human). Its description in RNAcentral is "HSALNT0046672". The record is from RNAcentral. Lineage: Eukaryota; Metazoa; Chordata; Mammalia; Primates; Hominidae.